This 5430-nucleotide long non-coding RNA is filed under the name Physcomitrium patens. Its description in RNAcentral is "long non-coding RNA (PPAT_LNC009509)". The record is from RNAcentral. Lineage: Eukaryota; Viridiplantae; Streptophyta; Bryopsida; Funariales; Funariaceae.
CUACAGUUUACAGAAGUGCAAAAUCAACACUAGAAAUUUCCUAAAAAUGUUCGAUCCCAAUGGUUUUCCAAUCAACACCUCGACGUGCAUGCAAGAAGGGGAAAUGCGGUGCGUGGAGGUGAUGCAGUGUGAGUGAGUGCGGAGGGAUGACGGACCUGCACUGGUGAGGCGCAAGGCGACCCUGAAUAAAACUCUAGUUUUCAUCUUCGACUCCCCCUCACUACGGACAAAAUAAUGGUUGAUGCUUCCACUGAGAGUUGAAGUCAGGACCUCCCGCUCACUAAUCGGGUGCUCUAGCCAACUAAGCCCAACUCUGCACCACAGUAAAAUACUAAAGUUUCGGACAAUUCCGCGCUUUUCACGCUUGUUUCGAAUUCUGCACCCUCGGUGGGGCCCCGAGGGCCUGGACUGCAGCACUACUGCUUGUUUGUUCCUGAAAUCCUAACUGUAUUGCUGUCUAUUUACUGUUUUCUGUUGCCACUUGUUGCGUUGUGUUCCAGAUGAUCACUUGCUAAGUUGUAAACUUGACGAUGCUGCCCUGUUUGUUUGUGUGUUAGUGUGUUUGUGUCUCCUAUGGGUGUGGAACUGUAUGUUACUAUGGCUGCUAUAGCGACUGACUCUCUAUUGGAACCCUAAGACGUCGUUUCCGAGCUGGAAUAGUUGUCGUUGUGUGUAGUUUCUUGCUGUCUUGCAUCUUGCUCCAACAGUUGUGUCCAUGUAGCUCUCGUGGCGAACACACCGUCGAUUAAUCGAAAAAGAUCAGAGUCUUCCAUAUCGGUAUGUGCAAGGGCUACAAAAAUUUGCAUGCAAUUUUUUAUGUGGGACCCGUGGCUGUCUUGCUGGACAUGUUGUCGGAGGCGUUGGCGGAUUGUGUGUUGGGGUUAUUCUUGUUCUUGUUGGUUGCGUUGUCUUAGUUCGUCUCUGUAUGCUUCUCUGAUGUUUUCUAUCUCUAUGCAAUACAGGACCUCUUCGCUAUCUGUUCUCCUGAUUCAGUUUGUCCAGAUGUUGGGCGUCGCUGGCGUCCUUGGUACGGGAUUGUUGAAUAGUGCGUCUAUUGCGGUGCGUAGGGCUGGAUGAGGGAUCGGUCGAAGCUCCGGUGCAUUCUGGUGGGGAUGAACGGCUAGCUCUAGCGAGAUGAAUGUCGGUGGUGGGAUCAUUUUCCAAGUGAAUGGUUCUUGAGUGGCGAAUAUGUUGUCCUCGGUCCAGAUCUUCAUGAAUAGCGCUGUUUUUUGUUGAUAUUCAUUGGAAGGUGUAGGAUGGCGAUGUAAUUCUCGCCAUGCUUCGAUCCCAAUAUGUACUGUGGUCCUCCAAGCUUUAUAGAGAACCUGGCCGAUAUGAAAUGAUUCCCGGUCUCUGUCAAAACUGCAUUUGGCACACCAUAUGUUCCAUUUUAUUAGUGACUUGAGUAGGAAUCAUGGCGUUUCGUUGGAGAUGCGGACAGUUGUAGUGAGUGGUUUCUCGUUUUCUAAAAUAGUUGGAUCCAGUUUGUCGUAUAGCCUCUCCUUCCAGUCUUGUAGUUUGCUGCGAGAAGCCAUUCGUCGUAGUGUAUUGUAGCGUGUCCACGCUAGGUGGAUGGCCGGACAGUCCCAGAAUGCAUGUUGGAUGGUUUCGCUUUCUCCUAUGUUGCACAGUUUGCAAGAGGGGUCUAGUUGCAUUACCCUUCGCCAGUGACCCAUUGGGAGGCCUUCCGCGAGGGUGAGCCACUGCAUGGCUGCCACUUUCUUGGGGAGCCAGGGGUGCCAGAGCUUCUUAUAGAAUUAUUGGCAUUGUGUAUCAUUGAAGUUGUGUUGUCGAAGUAUGUGUUUUCUUUUGAGGGGAGCCAUCCGUCCGGUGAUGCCGAGUUGGUAGCUUCGUUGUGAUGUAUAGUUGUAUAUAGAGCUUGGUCUGUGGUGUUAUUGACGCGGCCAUUCCAAUUCCGCUGAGUCGAACGUGAGGGCUUGUAUUGGGCGUUUUCCAGCUAUCCAGGGUGUCUGGGGGCAGCGGACGGGGCUGGUGGGGUUGAAUCCGAUGACUACUUGAUGUUCGUUUUUGAUAGCUAUGCGAACCCUUUGCAGUUCCGUGGUUCCGAUCUGUAGUUGUUCUUCAUAUACCAAUCCUAGUUCUUCUGAGGGAAGGACGACGUAUUUGAUUCCUCGGAGUUUACCCUCUUCUAUUCCGUGAAUGUGAAAUAUUUCUAUUGUAGUGUUUCUGAUGUCGGGCGUCCACCAAUCACGUGAGGAGUAAGGGGGUGCCGAGUUUGGAUUCCAAGGGAUGCAAUCCUGGAGCUGGUAAUGCUGGAGGUCUGCACGCUAGCUUCCCGUUCUCUGUUGGAGGCAGGUGGUUGUGUACCAGUCGCGUCUAUUGUCAUCCCAUUUGUCUAAGAAUGAGUGUACGCCUUUUCUCGAUCAUUGAAUGAAUCGGUCCUUUUUGUCUUAGCCUAACAUUUUCUGCUCAACAUCUACUAUUCUGGGGUUGCCACAGAUCGGUUGGCGAAGGAUUUUGUAUAGUGGUGGAAGAGUUGAUAAGCCGUGUUGUAUGCUGCUCCAUGCUGCACUGGCGCUUCUCCACAAAUCAGAUCCUUGUGGGCAUACUUGUAAGUUGCUUCCUAUCACCCAAUGUUGACUCGGAUAUCACUGUCCGUUUUGUUUGAACCUGAUUGCUUCUAUUCUAUGUCUAACCAUGAUUUUCCAUGGUUCUAGACCAGGAGUAAGCCCCCUAGCAAUCAAUUUUGCUAGAAGUGCCCUAGCUUUUGUGGCGGGGCCAAUUAUCUUGAGUCCUCCUUGUGUCAUUAGUUGGAUUAUCGUGUCCCAUUUGACCUUAGCCCUUACUUUGCCACUUGUUAUCCCACCCCAUAGAUAGUUUCUGAUCAUAGCACGGAUCUGGAUAUAUAUCUUAGUUUCUGGAGCAUGAAACUAGGUACCACAUGGAAGCAAGUAUAACCUGGUUGAUUGCUAGUAAUCUUCCAGCUAGGGACAGCUUUUUGGAUCCCCACUUUACCAGCUGUUUGGUAAUUUGUUGUACUACCUUAUUUCCCCGUUCUUCCGCUGGUAAUCAAAAACCUAUAUGGAAGCCAAAGUACUUGACGGAUUGGCCUGUAGUUUUCCAAAUUAAGUUUAGAUCUUCUCCCCAAUUCCAGCUGCGUUCGUGUUAAGAUGCCCAGAUCGCACAAAUUUUGUACCAGUUGAUCUUUGCCCCAUAGGCUUCACAAAACCGAGUCAGAGCUCGCAUUGCUCUUGUGAGGUUUUCCGGGGAUCCUUUUAGGAACAGUGCAGUGUCAUCUGCGAACAUUUGAUUGUUUAGGGAUGAGUUGUCCGAUAGUGUGAGUCCUUGUACUUGCCAUUUGGGGUCGUCCAGCAUGUACCUCAGGACAUCUGCUACGAAUAAAAAGAGGUAUGGUGCCAAGGGGCAUCCCUGGCAAACCGAUCUCUCUAUUUUGAAUAAGGGGCCAUUUUGUCCAUUCAUCGUGAUCGUGGCUGCAGCUUCCUUGUUGAGGGCCAUGACUAUAUUUAUCCAGGAAUUGGAGAAUCCAAUCUGAGUAAGUGCUGCUUUUGAGAAUCUCCAGUUGAUCCGAUCGUAAGCUUUUUCAAAAUCUAGAAAUUAUUGUUCUCAACCAUUGGGUCUCUGCUGUAGAGGUCUUGGUAGUAUUGUUGUGCAUAUGAGGCCAUAUCUGCUUGUUGCAUUAGAAUUUGAUUGUUGUAGUUGAAUUCGGGAAUGUGGCCUCGUUUGCUUUUCGCAUUGUGAUGUGCAAAAAAUUGAACGUUGCAUCUGUCGUCGACCUGAGACCUACGAAUUGCUCGUAGGGCGGCUAUGAUUUUGAUCGCCCAGGUGUCGAUUGAAUGUUGUUGUAUGGCCUCUUUCCACGCUUGGCUCAACAUAAGUCUGCCCUCCUCGCUAUGUAACUAUCUCUUAUCGAAGAAGGGCUGUCGGGAAAUGGGAGGGCCUUUAUGUUUGAUCUUCAAAAAAAUUGGUGAGUGAUCUUGUCUUAAUGUUUGGUCGGUCUACCAAUUGUGUUAGUAGCCAUCCCAUAUUUCUUCCACCCUAUUGAUCCCAUUGAUGAACUAUGUGCAAAACCUCAAUUUGGCUUCUACUUCCAAGUUGAUGUUAUCGUCUGGGGUGAUUUUUGUUUUCAAGAAUAGAGAUUGUUGCAUCUUUUUGGCAUGUGUUGAUAAGAGCUUUGGUAAGUUUUUUUUGGAUCGUCAACCAAGCCAUCUGUAUUGCUUGCCAAAGGUUUGAGCCUUGAAGUUGUAUUUUGAGGGCCAUGAAUAGCCAACCAAAAUGUUCGCUCCAAUCUUUGUCCAUGCAAAGUUGUGUGUUCUUGAUCUUGUGCAAGAUGAGGGAUUUCCAAGGUUCUUCUUCUAAGACUAGGGCUCUUAAUAUUAUUUUGGCCAAGAAUGCUCUCGUUUGGCCCAGUGGGUUGAAUACCCUAAUCCUGUCUUAGGCUAUCGGGGCAAUUACUGUGUCCUAUGCCACUUUGGCCCUUAUCUUCUUGUCCAGGUGGCUUGUCCAUACAAAGUUCCAAAAAAUGGCUCUUAUCUUUGUUAGGACCUUUUGUUGGAUAAUGCUGCAUGAAGCCAAAUAUCAUAUGCUCUUGAAUACGACCUGAUUUGAUACAAGUAGUCCAAUUGGAAGAGAGUUUCUUGUUUGACCACUGUGCUAGUUUUUCGCAGAUUUGUUGCAUAACUACAUUUUUUUUCAUGAUGGACUAUUUUCAUGCUAGACUAUUUCAUGCCAAAGUAUUUGAUGUAGGUGCCUUGGAGGAGCCACAUGAGGCCCUUGUCCUCCCUCCAGGUCCAUGGUUGUGGAUCUUGUCCUCCCUCCAGUUCCAUGGUUGUGGAUCAUUGUUAAUUCAUAGUGCUCUUGCUUUGUUUCAAUUGACCAAUAAUCUUGAGGUUGCAUAAAAAAGCUCAAGUACCUCAAAAGUGUGUUGUAUGUUAUCUAGGGCUCUUUUGAGGUAGAGGGCCAUGUUCUUUGCAAAGCAUUGGUUGUAGAUUGUGUUGCCAUUUAGGAAACAAAAACCAUCUAUUACAUAGGUGGAGUCAUUUAUCAUGUAUGACAACAUAUCCAAUAUGAAGAGGUAUAAGUAAGGUAUUAAUGGACAUCUUUGUCUAACCAAUCUUUGAAGUGUGAAUUUUUGACUAUUUUGUUCAUUCGUAAGGAUGGUUGAAUGGACAUUUUGGUAGAGUGCCAUUGUCCAUUUCAUCCAUUCUUUCAAAAAUCCCUAUCAUAUUUGUGUGAGGUGGGUGCAAGUUGGUAGCAAUGAUUGGAAUCUAUUGGUGAGGACUUUGGUUGUCAACAUGUAUGUGGUUGUCAGCACCAUAAUAGGGUGGUAAUUCUUUAUGUUUGAUGUUGUUCUUCCUUUUGAUAGGAAGCUAAUUAGCCUGUUAUUGAGGAUUUUGUGAAAGCAUCUUUUGUUAAAAGCAAUGUUGAUGAAUAUAAUGAUGUUUUAGUCCA